RNAcentral lists this ribosomal RNA (301 nucleotides) under uncultured bacterium. RNAcentral describes it as "partial 16S ribosomal RNA". It matches the Rfam family "Bacterial small subunit ribosomal RNA", at positions 509 to 807 of the family's 1533-position model. The record is from RNAcentral.
CAGUCGCCGCGGGAAUACAGAGGGUGCGAGCGUUAAUCGGAUUUACUGGGCGUAAAGCGUGCGUAGGCGGCUUCUUAAGUCGGAUGUGAAAUCCCUGAGCUUAACUUAGGAAUUGCAUUCGAUACUGGGAAGCUAGAGUAUGGGAGAGGAUGGUAGAAUUCCAGGUGUAGCGGUGAAAUGCGUAGAGAUCUGGAGGAAUACCGGUGGCGAAGGCGGCCCCCUGGACAAAGACUGACGCUCAGGUGCGAAAGCGUGGGGAGCAAACAGGAUUAGAUACCCGAGUAGUCCCUGUCUCUUAUAC